UACGUAGGGUCCGAGCGUUGUCCGGAUUUACUGGGUUUAAAGGGUGCGUAGGCGGUUGUGUAAGUCAGUGAUGAAAUGGGUAUGCUUAACGUACUCGCUGUUACUGAUACUGCACGACUAGAGAAUAGAUAAUGUAGCUGGAAUGAGUGGUGUAGCGGUGAAAUGCGUAGAGAUCACUCAGAACACCAAUUGCGAAGGCAGGUUACAGGACUACUUCUGACGCUGAGGCACGAAAGCGUGGGGAUCAAACAGG
Molecule: ribosomal RNA, 253 nt
Filed under: uncultured bacterium
Lineage: Bacteria
Description: partial 16S ribosomal RNA
Rfam family: Bacterial small subunit ribosomal RNA
Source: RNAcentral